RNAcentral lists this ribosomal RNA (253 nucleotides) under uncultured bacterium. RNAcentral describes it as "partial 16S ribosomal RNA". It matches the Rfam family "Bacterial small subunit ribosomal RNA", at positions 524 to 776 of the family's 1533-position model. The record is from RNAcentral.
UACAGAGGGGGCAAGCGUUGUUCGGAAUUACUGGGCGUAAAGGGCGCGUAGGCGGCCCGCUAAGUCGAACGUGAAAUCCCUGGGCUCAACCCAGGAACUGCGUCCGAUACUGGUUGGCUUGAAUCCGGGAGAGGGAUGUGGAAUUCCAGGUGUAGCGGUGAAAUGCGUAGAUAUCUGGAGGAACACCGGUGGCGAAGGCGACAUCCUGGACCGGUAUUGACGCUGAGGCGCGAAAGCCAGGGGAGCAAACGGG